GACGAACGCUGGCGGCGUGCUUAACACAUGCAAGUCGAACGGAAAGGCCCUGCUUUUGUGGGGUGCUCGAGUGGCGAACGGGUGAGUAACACGUGAGUAACCUGCCCUUGACUUUGGGAUAACUUCAGGAAACUGGGGCUAAUACCGGAUAGGAGCUCCUGCUGCAUGGUGGGGGUUGGAAAGUUUCGGCGGUUGGGGACGGACUCGCGGCGUAUCAGCUUGUUGGUGGGGUAGUGGCUUACCAAGGCUUUGACGGGUAGCCGGCCUGAGAGGGUGACCGGCCACAUUGGGACUGAGAUACGGCCCAGACUCCUACGGGAGGCAGCAGUGGGGAAUAUUGCACAAUGGGCGGAAGCCUGAUGCAGCAACGCCGCGUGCGGGAUGACGGCCUUCGGGUUGUAAACCGCUUUCGCCUGUGACGAAGCGUGAGUGACGGUAAUGGGUAAAGAAGCACCGGCUAACUACGUG
This 468-nucleotide ribosomal RNA is filed under the name uncultured bacterium. RNAcentral's name for it is "partial 16S ribosomal RNA". It matches the Rfam family "Bacterial small subunit ribosomal RNA", at positions 28 to 507 of the family's 1533-position model. The record is from RNAcentral.